Molecule: non-coding RNA, 30 nt
Filed under: Rattus norvegicus (Norway rat)
Lineage: Eukaryota; Metazoa; Chordata; Mammalia; Rodentia; Muridae
Source: RNAcentral
UCUUAGACGAUGGGAGAGUUGAUGAUACAC